UACAGAGGUCUCAAGCGUUGUUCGGAUUCAUUGGGCGUAAAGGGUGCGUAGGCGGCGCGGUAAGUCGGGUGUGAAAUCUCGGAGCUUAACUCCGAAACUGCAUUCGAUACUGCCGUGCUUGAGGACUGGAGAGGAGACUGGAAUUUACGGUGUAGCGGUGAAAUGCGUAGAUAUCGUAAGGAAGACCAGUGGCGAAGGCGGGUCUCUGGACAGUUCCUGACGCUGAGGCACGAAGGUCAGGGGAGCGAACUGG
This 253-nucleotide ribosomal RNA is filed under the name uncultured bacterium. RNAcentral's name for it is "partial 16S ribosomal RNA". It matches the Rfam family "Bacterial small subunit ribosomal RNA", at positions 524 to 776 of the family's 1533-position model. The record is from RNAcentral.